UUUAUUGGAGAGUUUGAUCCUGGCUCAGGAUGAACGCUGGCGGCGUGCCUAAUACAUGCAAGUCGAGCGAAUGGAUUAAGAGCUUGCUCUUAUGAAGUUAGCGGCGGACGGGUGAGUAACACGUGGGUAACCUGCCCAUAAGACUGGGAUAACUCCGGGAAACCGGGGCUAAUACCGGAUAAYAUUUUGAACYGCAUGGUUCGAAAUUGAAAGGYGGCUUCGGCUGUCACUUAUGGAUGGACCCGCGUCGCAUUAGCUAGUUGGUGAGGUAACGGCUCACCAAGGCAACGAUGCGUAGCCGACCUGAGAGGGUGAUCGGCCACACUGGGACUGAGACACGGCCCAGACUCCUACGGGAGGCAGCAGUAGGGAAUCUUCCGCAAUGGACGAAAGUCUGACGGAGCAACGCCGCGUGAGUGAUGAAGGCUUUCGGGUCGUAAAACUCUGUUGUUAGGGAAGAACAAGUGCUAGUUGAAUAAGCUGGCACCUUGACGGUACCUAACCAGAAAGCCAC
This 514-nucleotide ribosomal RNA is filed under the name Bacillus cereus. RNAcentral describes it as "bacterial SSU rRNA". It matches the Rfam family "Bacterial small subunit ribosomal RNA", at positions 1 to 494 of the family's 1533-position model. Lineage: Bacteria; Bacillati; Bacillota; Bacilli; Caryophanales; Bacillaceae. The record is from RNAcentral.